RNAcentral lists this ribosomal RNA (565 nucleotides) under uncultured bacterium. Its description in RNAcentral is "bacterial SSU rRNA". It matches the Rfam family "Bacterial small subunit ribosomal RNA", at positions 11 to 595 of the family's 1533-position model. The record is from RNAcentral.
GUUUGAUCAUGGCUCAGGACGGACGCUGGCGGCGUGCGUAAUACAUGCAAGUCGAGCGGACCUUCGGGUCAGCGGCGGACGGGUGAGGAACACGUGAGUCAUCUGUCGGUGGGUGGGGGAUAUCGGGCCGAAAGGCGCGGCAAUCCCGCAUACGUUCCUUCGGGAAGAAAGCUGGGCAACUGGCGCCCGCCGGGGAGCUCGCGGCCCAUUAGCUAGUUGGUAGGGUAACAGCCUCCCAAGGCGACGAUGGGUAGCCGGCCUGAGAGGGUGAACGGCCACACUGGGACUGAGACACGGCCCAGACUCCUACGGGAGGCAGCAGUAGGGAAUCUUCCACAAUGGGCGCAAGCCUGAUGGAGCAACGCCGCGUGAGUGAAGACGGCCUUCGGGUUGUAAAGCUCUGUCUGUCGGGACGAAGACCGGGACGGGAGUCCCGGGGAGCCGGUACCGACGAAGGAAGCCCCUGCAAACUACGUGCCAGCAGCCGCGGUAAGACGUAGGGGGCAAGCGUUGUCCGGAAUUACUGGGCGUAAAGGGCGUGUAGGCGGUGCGAUACGUAGCGGUU